CAAAAUUAAGAAUUCUAGACAAAAUAGAACUCCUAAGAAUAUAGAAAUUACUAGAAAUUAAGAAUCCUAACUAAAAUAAAAGUCUCAUGAGAACAGGAAAAUUUUACCGAAGUUAUAGACCUUAUCUCUAAUCAAUCAAGAACAUGAAAUGAUCUGUCUCCUCUCGGACGCAAUUUGGACCUCUUUUGAACUUGAACCCGCCACCUUCAGUUGUAAACCCAAUCACCAUCAACUGGAUCAAAGUGUGCUCACCUCAACUGCUUGAUCUUGCCAGUUUGGAAUGCUCCAAUAGCAACUCCAUCUGAUGAAAUCCAUGCAUUCUCCUUGCUUUACUUGGCCUAUGCACUUGUAACAAUAUCACUUCCAAUCUACCAAUAUUACCUUUUCGAUCAUCUACUUCACUCAGUCCUUUGCAUAUGAGAUCCUUCCAAUGCUUUUGGAACUCCUUUAUCUCCUCGGGAAUCACAAAGUCAAUUUCUGGCAAACAAGAGAAAUCCAAUUGAAGCUCAAUUCCUAGAUCGGGUGGUAUUCCAAUAGGAUUGUGUUCUGGAAUCAAGUUUUCAACAACCUGCAAAAUAGAAUUAACCAAACUAGGGAGGGAAUUGUUAAGUUUCAUGAUGACCUCCUCAACUUCAGGCUUCCUUUCAAUUAAAAUCACUUCCAGCUCCUCCUUCCCUUUCAAAGACUCUUCUUCAUUUUCUUUCUGCAAAUCUACUUCCCCUUUUGGAUUUUUACUCUCAACUUCUUUUUCACUCUCUUGUGGUCUUUUUCCUUUUACCUCACAACAAACCACCUCACAAUUUUCUCUCUUAUCCUUUUGUUCCUCCAUGUGAGUUUUCUGAGAGUUAAUCAAGUUACGAAUCUCUGAAAGUUCAGGCUCAUAAUCCAACCCAAUCCUCCUACUAGAUGUAUGAUCAACAUGCUUCACAAACGAUGUUUUCUCUUCCCUUGAAUACCCAAUUCCACUAUAUCUUCUAGGCUCCUGUCUAGAUUCCCGCUCACCCGCUUAUAAAAAUAAUUAGGCGUAUAUCGCUUCCUCAUUAUAGUCCUCAAUUCAUCCCAAUUUUCAAUAUGUCUAUCUCUGUUCCCCUGCUUAGAUUUUGUCAACUGAUCUCACCAAAUAAUUGCAUAAUCUACAAACGUGUUCACAACUAACUUUAAAUUUCUCUCCCCGGAGUAAUCGUGGCAAUCAAACACUAAUUUUACCCGUUCUUCCAUGCCAUGCAUGCCUCGGGAUCGUUCCUACCAUUAAAUUGUGGAAUUGUCAUCCUUUCAUGUCUCAAUCUCCCAUCAAUACCGUUUCCAACCAAAUUUCUAUAUCGCCCUUCAAUCCUCUCCAUCCUAUCCCCUAUAUCCUUUAACAUUCUCUCCAACCGUCAAAGCAACCUCCAAACAUUUUGAAUUGAAAUCCAAUUAAGUAGUGUGACUUAAGGACUCAAAAAGAAUUUAAAGUAGACAACUUUGAUUAAAACUUUUAUAAAUUCAAGAAAGUAGUUCUUGAAUUGGAAUUUGACCCAACAAAAAUAGAAUUUGAUUCAAAUGAAUAAUUGGCAAUUCUUUUUUUUUUUUU
Molecule: long non-coding RNA, 1570 nt
Filed under: Olea europaea subsp. europaea
Lineage: Eukaryota; Viridiplantae; Streptophyta; Magnoliopsida; Lamiales; Oleaceae
Source: RNAcentral